Molecule: ribosomal RNA, 484 nt
Filed under: uncultured bacterium
Lineage: Bacteria
Description: bacterial SSU rRNA
Rfam family: Bacterial small subunit ribosomal RNA
Source: RNAcentral
GCUGGCGGCAGGCCUAACACAUGCAAGUCGAGCGGUAACAGAAAGAAAGCUUGCUUUCUUUGCUGACGAGCGGCGGACGGGUGAGUAAUGCCUGGGAAUAUGCCUUAGUGUGGGGGAUAACUAUUGGAAACGAUAGCUAAUACCGCAUAACGUCCUCGGACCAAAGAGGGGGACCUUCGGGCCUCUCGCGCUAAGAUUAGCCCAGGUGGGAUUAGCUAGUUGGUGAGGUAAAGGCUCACCAAGGCAACGAUCCCUAGCUGGUCUGAGAGGAUGAUCAGCCACACUGGAACUGAGACACGGUCCAGACUCCUACGGGAGGCAGCAGUGGGGAAUAUUGCACAAUGGGGAAACCCUGAUGCAGCCAUGCCGCGUGUAUGAAGAAGGCCUUCGGGUUGUAAAGUACUUUCAGUCGUGAGGAAGGCAUUGUAGUUAAUAGCUGCAGUGCUUGACGUUAGCGACAGAAGAAGCACCGGCUAACUCCGUG